This 452-nucleotide ribosomal RNA is filed under the name uncultured organism. RNAcentral's name for it is "partial 16S ribosomal RNA". It matches the Rfam family "Bacterial small subunit ribosomal RNA", at positions 332 to 800 of the family's 1533-position model. The record is from RNAcentral.
UACACUCCUACGGGAGGCAGCAGUGGGGAAUAUUGGACAAUGGGCGCAAGCCUGAUCCAGCCAUGCCGCGUGAGUGAUGAAGGCCCUAGGGUUGUAAAGCUCUUUCACCGGAGAAGAUAAUGACGGUAUCCGGAGAAGAAGCCCCGGCUAACUUCGUGCCAGCAGCCGCGGUAAUACGAAGGGGGCUAGCGUUGUUCGGAAUUACUGGGCGUAAAGCGCACGUAGGCGGAUCGAUCAGUCAGGGGUGAAAUCCCAGGGCUCAACCCUGGAACUGCCUUUGAUACUGUCGAUCUGGAGUAUGGAAGAGGUGAGUGGAAUUCCGAGUGUAGAGGUGAAAUUCGUAGAUAUUCGGAGGAACACCAGUGGCGAAGGCGGCUCACUGGUCCAUUACUGACGCUGAGGUGCGAAAGCGUGGGGAGCAAACAGGAUUAGAUACCCCGGUAGUCCCAUGA